AUUUGGCUGGGCCUUUGUCUCUCGCUCCCACCAGAGCUUGGAAUCCGUCUCUGCUCUUCUGCAUUCUCCACCUCGGGAGCCCCUGGGGACUCUGUGACGGCCUCUGUUGCCCUGUGAUCUGCAGGUCCGGAGAGACGCACAGCUAAGAUGUCAGGACAUCCUGGAAGCUGGGAAAGGGUCUUGCCAUCUCUAAGCUGGACCUGGUGACCUUUUUGGAGGGAAAGAAAGAGCCCUGGACUGUGAAGAGUGAGGAGACCAUAGCUGCACAGCCAGUCCAGAUGUAUAAUCUCAUCCCUGAACAUUUCUGAUGGUGUGAUUAUGACAUGUGACUUUAUCUGGCAACAGAGUGAGUUGUUGCUCCCGCCUGAGCCCAGCCCCCAGAAAGGAUUGUGACAUAUCGUUGGACCCAGAAUUGAGGUGGAAUUGUGACAUAUAACUUGGCCAAGCACACAGAUGUAAUGGUGUGGUGACUCUCAUACCUAGAACUGGGACCUGUGCAGGAUUGUUAAUUCAUUACUGGACAUUCCUGUGGGUGUGAUUGUUACAUAUGCCUAUGUUCAGCACCCGAGUGAUUUGAUUUUGCUGCCUGGUCUCAGUCCAAAUGUAAGAUUGUGAUUUAUCGCUGAAUCCAGCACCUCGGUGAUUUGACUCUCCCUUUUUUUGUGGGAGGGAUCCUGCAAAUUUUGGGUAUUGUCAAUUAUUGCUGAAUCCUGUACCCAUGUUAUGACUCUCCCAAAUGUGCCUUACCUGUUGUGGCACAAUAUAUCACAUUAGACAUUGUUAAAUAUUGUUGGGUUCAACACCUGGGUGAUGGAUGUAACUUUUUUUCUGGGCCUGCCUACAGGGGACCUUGUGACAUAACUCAAUGCCCAUCAUCAUGGUAAUGUUACUCUCUUCUCCUGCCUGAUCUCUGCUCACAGAGAAAUUGUGACACAUCACUGGCCUAGCAUCUAGGUGAUGUGACUCUCCUCUUUUUUUCAGGCUCUGCAUAUUUGGGUAUUGUGACAUAUUGCUGAACUCAACACCUAAGGGAUGGGAGUCUCCUACCUAGGCCCUUCCUACAGGGGACAUUGUGACAUGUCUCUGCAUUCCUCAUCCAGGAGAUGUGACUCUCCUUUUCUGCCUACACCCUGCCUACACAGAAAGUUGUGGCAUAUUGCUGUGGUCAGCAACCAGAUGAUAUAUUUCUCCUGCCUGGGUCUUUAUUACAGGAAAGAUGAUUGACAUAUUACUGGGCCCAGCAUCCAGAUGAUGUGACUCUCUUCUUCUGUUGGUCCUUGCUUACAGGGAAACUGUAGCAUAUUGCUACACCCAACACCUAGCUUAUGUGAUUCUUCUUUUAGGUUUGCCUUCAGGGAACAUUGUGACAUAUUGCUGGGCCCUGCACUGAUAAUUUGUGACUCUUCUGCCUGUGAUUUGCCCACUUGGGGCAUUGUGACAUAUUGCUGGGUUUAACACUCAGGUGAUGUAACUUUUAUGCCUAGGCCUUGCUUACAGGAGGCAUUUUGAAAUGUCUUUGUGGCUGGGCAUGGUGGCUCAUGUCUGUAAUCCCAGCGCUUGGGGAGGCCAAGGUGGGCAGAUCACAAAGUCAGGAGUUCGAGACCAGCCUGGUCAACAUGGUGAAAACCUGUCUCUACUAAAACAAAACAAAACAAAACAAAACAAAACAAAACAAAACAAAACAAAACAAAUAAAACCA
Molecule: long non-coding RNA, 1699 nt
Filed under: Homo sapiens (human)
Lineage: Eukaryota; Metazoa; Chordata; Mammalia; Primates; Hominidae
Description: non-protein coding lnc-ZNF726-1:2
Source: RNAcentral